This 1236-nucleotide ribosomal RNA is filed under the name metagenome. RNAcentral's name for it is "bacterial LSU rRNA". It matches the Rfam family "Bacterial large subunit ribosomal RNA", at positions 1564 to 2808 of the family's 2925-position model. The record is from RNAcentral.
UGAAUACGAGGCACUAAGGUGCUGAAGUAGUGUAUGUCAUACUUCCAAGAAAAGCUUGCACUAUCGUAAGAUAAAAAUGCCUGUACCAUAACCGACACAGGUGGGUAGGUAGAGUAUACUAAGGGGCGCGAGAUAACUCUCUCUAAGGAACUCGGCAAAAUAACUCCGUAACUUCGGGAGAAGGAGUGCCUUAUUCUAUAAGGUUGCAAUAACAAGAUCCAAGCAACUGUUUAUCAAAAACACAGGUCUCCGCUAAGUCGUAAGACGAUGUAUGGGGGCUGACGCCUGCCCAGUGCCAGAAGGUUAAAGAAGUCGGUUAGCAAUUGCGAAGCUGGUAACUGAAGCCCUGGUGAACGGCGGCCGUAACUAUAACGGUCCUAAGGUAGCGAAAUUCCUUGUCGGGUAAGUUCCGACCCGCACGAAAGGCGUAAUGAUUUGGAUACUGUCUCGGAGAGGGACUCGGUGAAAUAGACUUGUCUGUGAAGAUGCGGACUACCUGCACCAGGACAGAAAGACCCUAUGAAGCUUUACUGUAACUUGAAAUUGAAAUUGGACUUUAUUCGCGCAGUAUAGGUGGGAGGCGUUGAUUAUAAUCUUGUGGGAUUAUUGGAGCCAUUAGUGAGAUACCACUCUUGUAAUGUUAGAUUUCUAACUUUGAAUCAUGAUCUGGUCAAAGAACAGUUUCAGGCGGGCAGUUUGACUGGGGCGGUCGCCUCCUAAAUGGUAACGGAGGCGUACAAAGGUUUCCUCUGAACGGGUAGAAAUCGUAUCUAGAGUGUAAAGGCAUAAGGAAGCUUGACUGUGAGACCUACAAGUCGAGCAGGGACGAAAGUCGGUCUUAGUGAUCUGACGGUACUGAGUGGAAAGGCCGUCACUCAACGGAUAAAAGUUACUCUGGGGAUAACAGGCUGAUCUCCCCCAAGAGUUCACAUCGACGGGGAGGUUUGGCACCUCGAUGUCGGCUCAUCGCAUCCUGGGGCGGUAGUACGUCCCAAGGGUUGGGCUGUUCGCCCAUGAAAGCGGUACGCGAGCUGGGUUCAGAACGUCGUGAGACAGUUCGGUCCAUAUCCGGUGUAGGCGUUAGAAUAUUGAGAGGAGCCUUCUUUAGUACGAGAGGACCGAGAAGGACAUACCUCUGGUGUACCAGUUAUCGUGCCAACGGUAAACGCUGGGUAGCUAUGUAUGGAGUGGAUAACCGCUGAAAGCAUCUAAGUGGGAAGCCCACCUCAAGAUAAG